CAACCUACCUAUCAGAGGGGAAUAACCCGGCGAAAGUCGGACUAAUACCGCAUAAAACAGGGGUUCCACAUGGAAAUAUUUGUUAAAGAAAUUCGCUGAUAGAUGGGCAUGCGUUCCAUUAGGUAGUUGGUGAGGUAACGGCUCACCAAGCCGACGAUGGAUAGGGGAACUGAGAGGUUGGUCCCCCACACUGGUACUGAGACACGGACCAGACUCCUACGGGAGGCAGCAGUGAGGAAUAUUGGUCAAUGGGCGAGAGCCUGAACCAGCCAAGUCGCGUGAAGGAAGAAGGAUCUAUGGUUCGUAAACUUCUUUUGCAGGGGAAUAAAGUGCAGGGCGUGUCCUGUUUUGUAUGUACCCUGAGAAUAAGGAUCGGCUAACUCCGUGCCAGCAGCCGCGGUAAUACGGAGGAUCCGAGCGUUAUCCGGAUUUAUUGGGUUUAAAGGGUGCGUAGGUGGUUUGAUAAGUCAGCGGUGAAAGUUUGCAGCUUAACUGUAAAAAUGCCGUUGAAACUGUCGGACUUGAGUGUAAAUGAGGUAGGCGGAAUGCGUGGUGUAGCGGUGAAAUGCAUAGAUAUCACGAAGAACUCCGAUUG
Molecule: ribosomal RNA, 595 nt
Filed under: uncultured Bacteroidota bacterium
Lineage: Bacteria; Pseudomonadati; Bacteroidota
Description: bacterial SSU rRNA
Rfam family: Bacterial small subunit ribosomal RNA
Source: RNAcentral